RNAcentral lists this ribosomal RNA (253 nucleotides) under uncultured bacterium. RNAcentral's name for it is "partial 16S ribosomal RNA". It matches the Rfam family "Bacterial small subunit ribosomal RNA", at positions 524 to 776 of the family's 1533-position model. The record is from RNAcentral.
UACGGAGAGGGCAAGCGUUGUUCGGAAUCACUGGGCAUAAAGCGCACGUAGGCGGAUUGGAAAGUCGGUUGUGAAAUCCCGGAGCUCAACUCCGGAACUGCUUCCGAAACUUCCAGUCUGGAGGACGAGAGGGGAGAGUGGAACUUCUGGUGGAGCGGUGAAAUGCGUAGAUAUCAGAAGGAACACCGGUGGCGAAAGCGACUCUCUGGCUCGUUUCUGACGCUAAGGUGCGAAAGCUUGGGUAGCAAACGGG